Molecule: ribosomal RNA, 483 nt
Filed under: uncultured bacterium
Lineage: Bacteria
Description: partial 16S ribosomal RNA
Rfam family: Bacterial small subunit ribosomal RNA
Source: RNAcentral
GACGAACGCUGGCGGCGUGCUUAACACAUGCAAGUCGAACGCUGAAGCUCAGCUUUUGUUGGGUGGAUGAGUGGCGAACGGGUGAGUAACACGUGAGUAACCUGCCCCCUUCUUUGGGAUAACGCCCGGAAACGGGUGCUAAUACUGGAUAUUCACUGGUCUUCGCAUGGGGGUUGGUGGAGAGGGUUUUUCUGGUGGGGGAUGGGCUCGCGGCCUAUCAGCUUGUUGGUGGGGUGAUGGCCUACCAAGGCUUUGACGGGUAGCCGGCCUGAGAGGGUGACCGGUCACAUUGGGACUGAGAUACGGCCCAGACUCCUACGGGAGGCAGCAGUGGGGAAUAUUGCACAAUGGGCGCAAGCCUGAUGCAGCGACGCCGCGUGAGGGAUGGAGGCCUUCGGGUUGUGAACCUCUUUCGCUCAUGGUCAAGCCGCAACAAUGGUUGUGGUGAGGGUAGUGGGUAAAGAAGCGCCGGCUAACUACGUG